CCUACUAUGUUACGACUUAUCUCAUUUUGGUAAUGAAAGCGACGGGCGAUAUGUACAUGAUUUAGAGCUUAUAUCUAACUAAACAUAUUAAAUUUAAUUUACAAUCAAAUCCUCCUUCUAAUUAAUUAUUUAAAUUAAUAUUCCGUAUUAAAUAAAUUUUUAUUGUAACCCAUUUUAACUUAAGCAUUAGCUGCACCUUGAUCUAAUAUAUUUAACACUAUUAAUAAUUAUUUUUAGUAAUUUAUUCUAUAAAAAUUACCUAAUAAUGAUGGUAUACAUACUACUCUACAAGCCUAAGUAAGAUUUUUCGUGGUGUAUCGAUUUAAAAACAGGUUCCUCUGACAAGACUAAAUCACCGCCAAAUUAUUCAAAUUUCAAGUACAUAACUUUAAAUACCUAGGUCUUAAAAAAUUACUUUUUGGUAU
This 425-nucleotide ribosomal RNA is filed under the name Scylla paramamosain (green mud crab). RNAcentral describes it as "partial 12S ribosomal RNA". The record is from RNAcentral. Lineage: Eukaryota; Metazoa; Arthropoda; Malacostraca; Decapoda; Portunidae.